Molecule: ribosomal RNA, 375 nt
Filed under: uncultured organism
Description: partial 16S ribosomal RNA
Rfam family: Bacterial small subunit ribosomal RNA
Source: RNAcentral
GUAGGUGGCAAGCGUUGUCCGGGAAUUAUUGGGGCGUAAAGCGCGCGCAGGCGGUUCUUUAAGUCUGAUGUGAAAGCCCACGGGCUCAACCGUGGAGGGUCAUUGGAAACUGGAGAACUUGAGUACAGAAGAGGAAAGCGGAAUUCCACGUGUAGCGGUGAAAUGCGUAGAGAUGUGGAGGAACACCAGUGGCGAAGGCGGCUUUCUGGUCUGUAACUGACGCUGAGGCGCGAAAGCGUGGGGAGCAAACAGGAUUAGAUACCCUGGUAGUCCACGCCGUAAACGAUGAGUGCUAAGUGCUAGGGGGUUUCCGCCCCUUAGUGCUGCAGCUAACGCAUUAAGCACUCCGCCUGGGGAGUACGGCCGCAAAGGCUG